AGAGUUUGAUCCUGGCUCAGGAUGAACGCUGGCGGCGUGCCUAAUACAUGCAAGUAGAACGCUGAAGGAGGAGCUUGCUUCUCUGGAUGAGUUGCGAACGGGUGAGUAACGCGUAGGUAACCUGCCUGGUAGCGGGGGAUAACUAUUGGAAACGAUAGCUAAUACCGCAUAACAGUAGAUAUUGCAUGAUAUCUGCUUGAAAGGUGCAAUUGCACCACUACCAGAUGGACCUGCGUUGUAUUAGCUAGUUGGUGAGGUAACGGCUCACCAAGGCGACGAUACAUAGCCGACCUGAGAGGGUGAUCGGCCACACUGGGACUGAGACACGGCCCAGACUCCUACGGGAGGCAGCAGUAGGGAAUCUUCGGCAAUGGACGGAAGUCUGACCGAGCAACGCCGCGUGAGUGAAGAAGGUUUUCGGAUCGUAAAGCUCUGUUGUAAGAGAAGAACGAGUGUGAGAGUGGAAAGUUCACACUGUGACGGUAUCUUACCAGAAAGGGACGGCUAACUACGUGCCAGCAGCCGCGGUAAUACGUAGGUCCCGAGCGUUGUCCGGAUUUAUUGGGCGUAAAGCGAGCGCAGGCGGUUAGAUAAGUCUGAAGUUAAAGGCUGUGGCUUAACCAUAGUACGCUUUGGAAACUGUUUAACUUGAGUGCAAGAGGGGAGAGUGGAAUUCCAUGUGUAGCGGUGAAAUGCGUAGAUAUAUGGAGGAACACCGGUGGCGAAAGCGGCUCUCUGGCUUGUAACUGACGCUGAGGCUCGAAAGCGUGGGGAGCAAACAGGAUUAGAUACCCUGGUAGUCCACGCCGUAAACGAUGAGUGCUAGGUGUUGGGUCCUUUCCGGGACUCAGUGCCGCAGCUAACGCAUUAAGCACUCCGCCUGGGGAGUACGACCGCAAGGUUGAAACUCAAAGGAAUUGACGGGGGCCCGCACAAGCGGCGGAGCAUGUGGAUUAAUUCGAUGCAACGCGAAGAACCUUACCAGGUCUUGACAUCCCUCUGACCGCUCUAGAGAUAGAGCUUUCCUUCGGGACAGAGGUGACAGGUGGUGCAUGG
RNAcentral lists this ribosomal RNA (1056 nucleotides) under Mycobacterium tuberculosis. Its description in RNAcentral is "bacterial SSU rRNA". It matches the Rfam family "Bacterial small subunit ribosomal RNA", at positions 8 to 1048 of the family's 1533-position model. Lineage: Bacteria; Bacillati; Actinomycetota; Actinomycetes; Mycobacteriales; Mycobacteriaceae. The record is from RNAcentral.